This 118-nucleotide microRNA precursor is filed under the name Olea europaea subsp. europaea. Lineage: Eukaryota; Viridiplantae; Streptophyta; Magnoliopsida; Lamiales; Oleaceae. The record is from RNAcentral.
CUUGCAGCAGUCUCUAAUUCGGUUGGUGCAGUUCGGGAGUUCCUUUGCCUGUGAUAUUGAUGUCUGGCAAAAGUCAUGCUCCUGAGUUGUGCCAAUUGAAUCAGAGCCUGCAGCAAAU